AAAAAAUUUGCUAUUUUACGAAGCCAAUGUGAUAAUACUCUGCUGAACGCAUAUAUUUUUUCCAGUGACAAGUGAGGUUAUCGUUACUGUGUGUCUUUUUCUCGAUGUAUAUGUAUCUCGGAUUAACGUUUGCGGAGGAUUUGUGGAGGAUCUUUUACUCGAGGAGAAUUACCCCGUCGCAUAUCCUAUUCUUAUGAUUUUUUUACUUACUGUCAUAAUAGAAAUGUAAACCAUCUGUUAGACGAAUAUUACAGAUACAGAUAAGUUUAUUCAAGCCUGUACAAAUUAUACCAAUGGAAAUACCGGCCUAUUAUCGACGGCAACGUGUUUUAUGCUCUUUUUCGGCUUUUUCAAGAAACGGAUGACACGACUAUAAUAACGAUGUACAUGUGCUCCACUCUGGCAAACGGUAUAAAUAGUGGCGUAGCUUCUCUACUGGAACGUUGACGUGAAGAGCAAAGAAAAUAUCAAGAAGAAAAGCUAGAGUGAAAGAAAGGAAAUAGGGACGUUUAUACGUAGCUAGCGAUUAAUGAUAUAUAUAUGUCAACAAUAAUGCGUAAUUAUGAAUGAAAAAAUUUGCUUUAAUGAUAUUUUACGAAGCCAAUGUGAUAAUACUGGAUUCUUGUUGAAUGCAUUACCUCAGCAUGCUUGUUAUUUUACAAGCUGUAAAAUAAAAAGUAUUUUGUA
Molecule: long non-coding RNA, 687 nt
Organism: Wasmannia auropunctata (little fire ant)
Lineage: Eukaryota; Metazoa; Arthropoda; Insecta; Hymenoptera; Formicidae
Exons: 2
Source: RefSeq, a predicted model, not a curated record